ACAAGCGGUGGAUGAUGUGGUUAAUUCGAUGCAACGCGAAAACCUUACCUGGCCUUGACAUGUAGCGAACUUUCCAGAGAUGGAUUGGUGCUCGAAAGAGAACGCUAACACAGGUGCUGCAUGGCUGUCGUCAGCUCGUGUCGUGAGAUGUUGGGUUAAGUCCCGCAACGAGCGCAACCCUUGCCAUUAAUUGCCAUCAUUUAGUUGGGCACUUUAAUGGGACUGCCGGUGACAAACCGGAGGAAGGUGGGGAUGACGUCAAGUCCUCAUGGCCCUUAUGGGUAGGGCUUCACACGUCAUACAAUGGUCGGUACAGAGGGUUGCCAACCCGCGAGGGGGAGCUAAUCCCACAAAGCCGAUCGUAGUCCGGAUCGCAGUCUGCAACUCGACUGCGUGAAGUCGGAAUCGCUAGUAAUCGUGGAUCAGCAUGUCACGGUGAAUACGUUCCCGGGUCUU
RNAcentral lists this ribosomal RNA (456 nucleotides) under uncultured Methylophilaceae bacterium. Its description in RNAcentral is "bacterial SSU rRNA". It matches the Rfam family "Bacterial small subunit ribosomal RNA", at positions 925 to 1382 of the family's 1533-position model. Lineage: Bacteria; Pseudomonadati; Pseudomonadota; Betaproteobacteria; Nitrosomonadales; Methylophilaceae. The record is from RNAcentral.